UCCUGACGGUCGCAGAGAUGUGACCCUCUCUUCGGAGCCUGGAGCACAGGUGCUGCAUGGCUGUCGUCAGCUCGUGUCGUGAGAUGUUGGGUUAAGUCCCGCAACGAGCGCAACCCCCGUCCUUAGUUGCUACCAUUUAGUUGAGCACUCUAAGGAGACUGCCGGUGAUAAGCCGCGAGGAAGGUGGGGAUGACGUCAAGUCCUCAUGGCCCUUACGGGCUGGGCUACACACGUGCUACAAUGGCGGUGACAAUGGGAUGCUAAGGGGCGACCCUUCGCAAAUCUCAAAAAGCCGUCUCAGUUCGGAUUGGGCUCUGCAACUCGAGCCCAUGAAGUUGGAAUCGCUAGUAAUCGUGGAUCAGCACGCCACGGUGAAUACGUUCCCGGGUCUGACCAACACCGG
This 403-nucleotide ribosomal RNA is filed under the name Bradyrhizobium japonicum. RNAcentral's name for it is "bacterial SSU rRNA". It matches the Rfam family "Bacterial small subunit ribosomal RNA", at positions 989 to 1393 of the family's 1533-position model. Lineage: Bacteria; Pseudomonadati; Pseudomonadota; Alphaproteobacteria; Hyphomicrobiales; Nitrobacteraceae. The record is from RNAcentral.